RNAcentral lists this ribosomal RNA (407 nucleotides) under uncultured bacterium. RNAcentral describes it as "partial 16S ribosomal RNA". It matches the Rfam family "Bacterial small subunit ribosomal RNA", at positions 28 to 526 of the family's 1533-position model. The record is from RNAcentral.
GACGAACGCUGGCGGCGUGCCUAAUACAUGCAAGUAGGACGCAGUUGCGAACGGGUGAUUAACGCGUAGCUCACUACCUAUUAGAGGGGGAUAACUAUUUGAAACGUUAGCUAAUACCGCAUACUCGUAUAUGUACCUUCGUUGUAUUAGUUAGUAGGUAGUGUAAUGGCCUAACUAGGCAACGAUACAUAGCCGACAUGAGAGGGGGAUCGGCCAAACGGGGAAGGAGACACGGCCCAGACGCCUACGGGAGGCAGCAGUAGGGAAUCUUCGGCAAUGGGGGGAACCCUGACCGAGAAACGCCGCGUGAGUGAAGAAGGUUUUCGGAUCGUAAAGGUCUGUUGUUAAGGAAGCGGUACUUAACCAGAAAGGGACGGCUAACUACGUGCCAGCAGCCGCGGUAAUAC